This 316-nucleotide ribosomal RNA is filed under the name uncultured bacterium. Its description in RNAcentral is "bacterial SSU rRNA". It matches the Rfam family "Bacterial small subunit ribosomal RNA", at positions 28 to 334 of the family's 1533-position model. The record is from RNAcentral.
GGUGAACGCUAGCUACAGGCUUAACACAUGCAAGUCGAGGGGCAGCGGGGAGGAUGCUUGCAUUCUCUGCCGGCGACCGGCGCACGGGUGAGUAACGCGUACCGAACCUGCCUCAUACUCGGGAAUAGCCUUGCGAAAGUAAGAUUAAUGCCCGGUGUUCCGCGAGGGCCGCAUGGCCUUUUCGGCAAAGUUUUUUACGGUAUGAGAUGGCGGUGCGUCCCAUUAGCUUGUUGGUGGGGUAAUGGCUCACCAAGGCAUCGAUGGGUAGGGGUUCUGAGAGGAAGGUCCCCCACAUUGGAACUGAGACACGGUCCAA